Peromyscus californicus insignis is the source of this 4982-nucleotide long non-coding RNA. RefSeq lists it as uncharacterized. The record is from RefSeq and is a predicted model, not a curated record. NCBI's taxonomy places the organism in Eukaryota, Metazoa, Chordata, Mammalia, Rodentia, Cricetidae. The transcript is spliced from 3 exons.
GCGGCGGGACCUACAGGAAGUGUGUAGCGACGCCCGCGGAAGGCGCUCGACCCGCGGCGCUCGCUGCCCUCCGGGGGCGAGGGCCAGCCUCCCGCCGCGGACACGCGCAGCACUGAGCCGGCCGAGCUCGGCCCCCGCCGCUCCGACAGGUGUUGAGAAUCAACCCAGGUCCCCUGGAAGAGCAGCUAGUGACCACUAACCACUGAGCUAUCUCUCCAGCCCUGCUUUUUCAGCCAUUCUUUAUCUCUGUUUGCCCCAGAGAACUUGUGGAUUCCUUACCUGCAAAACAAGGGGCAAGAAGCCAAGCUCUGAAGUGGAAAGAAACUGCCACAGAAAAACAUUCUAAAAGGCAUCUUCAGCUGUCUCAUGAUGCUUGGGCUGGAGAGUUUCAUGUCAACUUCACACAAGCUGGGGUUGCUGCAGGCUGCAGGAAAACAUGAUGGAAUCCAGCUACUAUCACAAAAGCUACUACUUGGAAAAGUCAGGGACUUCUCCAAAGGUCAAGCCAUGGCUUAAGAAGUCGUGGUGAUAUUUUAGCUUUUAUAUAUAUGGUUCCUAAAAUGGUUUUCUUGCAUGCUUCCAAGAACUCCUAACAGUGUAUUUAUCUAAAAUGCCUAUCAAGCAUCCAAGGCCAUACGAAACAACACCUGUCUCCUAGGUCAGGCGGAUAGCUUUAUUUCUUGUGCAAUUUAGGGUGAGACCCUCCUUUCUGAUACAACCUUACUAAAAGGAAUGUAGACUGAGCACAUAGAUCCAUUUUGAUAUACUAACCGGUCAGUUGACCUCCUCUUUUACCACUCCCAUACUGUUUUAAGUAAAUUUGCCAUUUUGUUGGGCUGCAUUCACAGCUAUCACAGUUGUAAAAGAAGGCCUGACAGUCACUACCAGAGGAAAAUUCUUACCUACCUUUAUGACCCCGUAGAAUUCAAGCCUGGUGACUUUGCUGGGCCAGAGAUUUGCUAUUGCUUGGGUUUAUAACUGGAUUCCAGAGAGACUUAAAAUGAGGAGAAGAGAAAAGAGAAUGGAAGAACUAGAUGGGUAAGAACUUGAGAGGAACAAACUGAGAUGGGGAAGAACUAGAUUGAAGGGCAAGAAGAGAGGACUAGAGGAACGAGAUGGAAGAUGAGGAAGAGCCAGAUGGGGAAGAACAAGAUGAGAAAGAAGGAGAUGAGAGAGGAGCUAGGAUGGAAAAGAACUAGAUGGAUGAGAACCUAGAUGGGGCAGAACUAAUAUGAGAGAAUGAAGAUAGAACUUAGAGGAGACAGCAGAUUAAUGUAGGGAGAAAUCAAGCAAGAAAGGAGCUAGGCAUGAGAGCAGAAUAGAAGCUAUGUAGAGAGAGAACUGACUCAGAAGAAUAAAGUGUAUGGACUGAGGAGUUUUGUGUACAUAAAUUCAUUUCUUUUCAUUAAAGACUAAUUAUCAACUGGUUGUAGAUUCUUCCCAGACUCUGAGAGGGAACUAUCAAGGGGCUGGACCCCCAUAGUCCUUGAUAUGGUAUCAUCUGAGAGGAGGGACCUCAAUUAAGAAAAUGCCUCCAGCCAAGUGGUGGUGGCACAUGCCUUUAAUCCCAGCACUUGGGAGGCAAAGGCAGGUGGAUCUCUGUGAGUUCGGGGCCAGCCUGAUCUACAGAGCUAGUUCUAGGACAGCCAAGGCUGCACAAAGAAACCCUGCCUUGAAAAGUAAAUAUAAAACAAAGAAAAUCCCUCCAUAACAUUAGGUUGUAGGCAGGCCUGUUGUUGGAGGUUUUUGAUCUCUGCUCUUUUUUGGGGGGUUCGCCAUCCAGCUCCCAAAUAAAUCACAUACAGAGGCUUAUUCUUACUUAUGAAUGCCCAGCCUUAGCUUGGCUUAGUUUCUUGCCAGCUUUCCUUAACUUAUUCCGACUACCUUUUGCCUCUGGGUUUUUCUCUAACUUCUGUAAAUCUUAUUCUUACUCGGUGGCUUGCUGUGUAGCUGGGUGGCUAACCCCUAGAGAUCUCCUCCUCCUUCUCUGGCUCCUAGCUCUCCCUUUUCCAGAUUUCUCCCUGUAUAUAUUCUUUCUGCCUACCAGCCCCACCUAUCCUUUCUCCUGCCUUGCUAUUGGCCAGUUCUUUAUUAUACCAUCAGGUGUUUUAGACAGGCACAGUAACACAGCUUCACAGAUCUAAACAUAUGCAGCAUAAGCAAAAGUAACACACCUUAAAAUAAUAUUCUACUACACAGGCCUGUAAGGCAUUUUCUCAAUUAGUAAUUGGUGGGGGAGCACCCAGCACAUUGUAGGUGGUGCCAUCCUUGGCCUGGUGGUUCUUAGUUCUAUAAGAAAGUAGGCAGAGAAAGCCAUUGGGAUUAAUCCAGUAAGCAGUUCUCCUCCAUGGCCUCUGUAUUAGCUCCUGCUUCCAGGUUCCUGCAUGGGUUUUUGUCCUGCUUGAGUUCCUGUCCUGACUUCCUUUGAUGGUGGACUAUGAUGUGGAAGUAUAAACCGAAUAAACCCUUUCCUCCCCAACUUGCUUGGUCAUGGUGUUCAUCACAGCACCAGUGACCCUGACUAAGACAGUGCCGGGAAGAGUUUCUACAUAGGAGUGUGGUCCUGGUUACACACCAGUGUCUCAACUGAGACUGAUCAUGAACCAAAGUCAGAGCAAAAGCAAAUCAGAAUGGUCCCACCAAUGCCUCCAAUUCAGCCUUCAACUACGUCUGUCCCUGGUUGAUGAAGUUCCAAUAUUCUGCCUGCCAAAUAUAAAUCUUUGGUAAAGGAGCUUUUCAAAUUUUUCCUACAUAAUAUCUGGUACCCUACCAAUAAUUAAUCAUAUAUAACAAGAAAAAAGAAUGAAAACAAAAUGAAAAGAGGACAGUGAAAACAUGCACACAUGUCCCAGCUGUCCUGGUCAUUAGCUAGAACCUGUAGAAUAGUUGUGAUUAAUAUGAUCAAGACAUACAGGACGGAAUGGAGGCUUUCACUACAUUUAAAAAUAAUUUAAAUGUAGUGAAAUGUGGGAUUUAAAAAUAAUCAAAUAGAGCCCACUGGGGACAUUUCAACCAAAACCACAGUAGACGCCGGUGUGCAUCCACGAAGAUGAUGAUGAUGGCAGAGGCAGUCGAAGCGCUGGUGAGAAGGUGGGAUACCAGAGGUGGGGUACCAGAACUCCAGUUUGGUGCUAGCAGGGUUCUGUGAACUUUGGAAAACAUGGCAGUCCUGCAAAAGGUUAAACAAAAUUCCCAUACAACACUGCAGAACUUCUGGCCAAGAAAAAUUGUAGCAGCACAAAUAAUUUACAUGAAUGAAUAUUCAGAGGCAACAUUAUUCAUAGUAACCCCAAACUGGGAAGAACUCAGUUGUCCAUCAGUUUAUGAAGGGGUGAGUGUUGUACUAGUUGAUAGUAAAAAGGAAUGAAGUAGUAUUUGUUGUGGUUUUUGUUACAGGUUUGUUUUAUUUGACUAUAAGCCACAAUGGUGACUUUCUAGAGCCAUGACCAAAAGUUAGACUCAGGUGUCAAUUAGGAGAGCUAUGAGGUACAAUCAAAAUGAGUAAAACACAAAUUUAUUAUUCUUGGAUCUCAAGAAGGUUGGAGGUGCUGGCAGGAGGCUAACAAAUCUAGUGAGAUCAGGAAACUUAACUAGCGGGCAAGAAAGAGGCAGAAAGGAAGGAAAUUGGACUGAAGAAGUGGUUCAGUGGUUGAGAGCACUUGUUGCUCUUGCAAAAGACCUAGGAUUGGUUCCAGAACCCACAUGGUGACUCGAAACCAUCUCUAACUUGUUCCAGGGAACCUGAUGCCCUCUUCUGACCUUCAUGGGGACCAGGCACACACAUGGUACACAUAUACACAACACUCAUAAAAUUAAGUGAUUUUUUAAAAAAAUUAAAUCUUUGGUAACGAGGAAAUUCCACGGAGUCUAUCUGAUAAUCAAAGGGAUUUAUUCUGUGUUAACUCACAGCAAGCACAAAGGAGCUAGUCUCGGGAUCCAGGAGGGUGGGGCUCAGUCCAAUGCAGUUCUCUGGAGAACUCUGCCUUGAUCUGCAGCACCAGCAUCCAAGACCACAAGGUAGUCAAGAGAGAGCAAGCAGUCUAGGUCUUCAGGGGUCCCUGUCUCAGUGAUUCCCCAGGCGGGGGCAGGUUCCUAGCAGUUAUCUGCUGCCUACUAGGGCGGUGCUUUAGGGUACAAACAACCACCCCUACCUUUUGGUGCUGUGUUUGUUAAAAUAUGUCCACGGUCAUAUUUUAGACUUCACUGAGGGCUUAUGUGUAAGCCCCUUGAGCCUCAGGAGUGGCCAGGCCUCUCUCACCAAGGACCUCCAAAUGCCGAGUUCCACCAACAGAACACUAACUGCCAUAACUUCUGGACCCUGCCCCAACCCUACCGAGUAAAAAAACCCAAUCUCUGGACAUGAAAUCCCUCCAAUCUCUACCCUGGAGAGUUCCACCCUAAGAAGUUCCACCCCCUUCCCAAUAAACCCUAUAUAAGCCCUGUAUCCUGUUCAGUGCUCUGCUGUUUCUCACCUGAGCAGAGGCAGCCUCCUAGGUUUUUUUUUCCCUCCCAAUAAACCUCAUGUGUGAGGUUUGUUGUGCAGUGUAACCUUGUAGUAUUCCUUGGCUCCCUGCUGCCAGGAUACCUUUCCAUCCAACCUGUAAUGCUUAUAUUGGGUGCUGUAACUCAGAUAGACUCUCCUAGUGCCUGCAUUUCCCCUCAUGGUCUAAGCUUGCACUGAGACCCUAUUCCUCAUCUCCAGUCUAUCCACAACAGACUCACCUUCUGGCUCAGCACUCCAUCCACCAACAACAAUUAGGUAAGUUUUCCCUUUGGUCAGUGUAAAUGUUUCCCUGAGUCUGAGGAAGUAAUUGUUGAGUGUCUGGUACCCCUCUGAUACUCUUGGAAGUAGAGGUACUGUUAGGAUCCGCAGAUCACCCCACAAAAGACCAUCAUUCAUGUAUGCAAAAGCAAGAGCAUUUAGCCGGGCGGUGGUGGCACACGCCUUUAAUCCCAGCACUCGGGAGGCAGAGGCAGGUGGA